CAUUAGACAAAAACAAGAGGCCGUGAAAAGCCACACCCUCGAACGUUUUCUUUUAAUAUUUUUAUAAAGUUAAAGGGUAUAUUUUAAAAUAUCCUCAAAAUAGGUGGGUUUCAAAUGUAAAUUUAUAGAAUAUAAAAUGACUUACUUCUCUUUCUGCCCUACCAAAAGUGAAUGCAGCCGUCCAAUAGCGGUCCAAUGCGGGAGAGCAGAUUCCGUCGUCUAGAAGAGAUUUCCGGCGAGUAGCCAGCGAAUGUUUCAUGCGAUUUCCGGUGGUUUUUAGCGGUGGUGGUGAUAUACCGGCGAUUGUGAAGGUGGUGGUUGGUCGACAUAAGAAAUUUGUUAUUUUUUAUUGAUGAUAAUCACUUUUUACUGAUUAGUUUAUAUAAGAUGUAAUUAUAAUAUGUUUAUUGUUGUAUUAAUGUUAAUAGUUGGUGGUUGGUAAAGUGAUUUUUCUUGGAUUAACGAAAAUACAUAUUCCAAUACUUAUAUUUUACUGAAAAAGCUGAAAUCUUAAGAGUCAAA
Long non-coding RNA from Lactuca sativa (garden lettuce), 522 nucleotides. RefSeq lists it as uncharacterized. The record is from RefSeq and is a predicted model, not a curated record. Lineage: Eukaryota; Viridiplantae; Streptophyta; Magnoliopsida; Asterales; Asteraceae.